RNAcentral lists this long non-coding RNA (1522 nucleotides) under Chlamydomonas reinhardtii. RNAcentral describes it as "long non-coding RNA (CREI_LNC001280)". The record is from RNAcentral. Lineage: Eukaryota; Viridiplantae; Chlorophyta; Chlorophyceae; Chlamydomonadales; Chlamydomonadaceae.
CCCCAGUAGCUGACCGUAUAAUGCACCUGCCCAAUCCCACCGUUGGGGACAAGGCAGCCCGUCUGAUCUGAAAACUGUGUCCGUUAGUUGUGGUCACGGCUGUUGGAGCUGCACUACAACACGUAAAGGCCUCAAGGGGUACGAUCAAGGCCCUGUCCUCUUGUCCCAUUGGGAAUUCCGCGACGGACGAGAGCCUCAUAGAUGCCCUCAGUCGACGGCUGGUACAUACCGGAUACCGGGAAGGGCGCCAGGGGUCAACCCAGGGGUGGUCGCUGCUGGCCAGGCACUCGCGCCUGACACGCGCACGCUGGCUGCCCUGACCGCAGUGCGUGUUGUAGCCGUAGACCCGGGCUGCGUGAACUACCUAGUUGCCCGCGUCGGCUACCUGGCUGCCUUCAGCCCACCUCUACCUACGCGGGUGGCAGUGCAGCCGGUUGCAGUCCAGAGCCAGCAUGCAGUUUAGGGCUGUGGCAUCCCCUGCGACAUUACCGCCAGUGGGGCAAGCGGCAGUGGCGCCUGACUGUGCACAUUCGGGACCAAAAACUUAGCGUUUGUUACGGUAAUGAAUCCGUCUGCUCCCAUUAGCCUGCUUUCAUGCAUGUUCUGCUCGUACAAAUUCUAAUGCCUUGCGCCUGUUCUGCUGCAUGUGCAGGUCUUCGAGCACACAGCUGGUGGAAGGCCCAAGGAGGAAGUCAUUGUCGGCUGGGGCAACGCCAACACUGGCAACGGAGGCAGCUGUGUCAGCAGGUCGGGCAGGGCCCCAACCCGGGCGCUGCUAGUAGACAUGCACGUGGGCGAGUACUACAUUGGCCAGGCAAGCAUGUGCUUAUAAGGACUUGGCAGGGGCCGUUAUAGGGCGCAGCACUCAAUUGCACAUGAAUGUGUUGCAGGUGUGCGCAAAGUGCGGACGGCGCCUGCUUGGUAAUGGGCAGCGCUGCUUGCAAGUGAUGAUUCCGUUUGGUGGCUCGCGUGCCCGCGACGCCCAAGUGUGCUAACAUUGCGGGACUGUGUGGGUAAGCCUGCCUCAGAUUCAGCCGGUUCAAGGGGACCAGGACAAGUCUCGGAUAUAGACUCGGCAGUUAAGUGGGAUUCCAUCCCCUGACGUCCCGCAUGGAUGUUGUACCGUACUGCAGGGUCGCGACGCCAACUCAGCGGCGAACAUGCGGCACGCGCUGAUGGAGUGUGCGAUGGGACAGGGUUUAGGCAGGUUGGCGAGGUCCCGUAGGGUGCAGCUGACGCCCAUACCCCAGCAGACGGCAUACAAUUUGCAGCGGCAGAGCAGAAGUGCAUGGCUGGUCGAACGCCGGAGUUACUGUACCGACAAGUUGCUGGCUGGCUGGCGAACAUACGGCACGCGCUGAUGGAGAUCCUGCUUGCUUGGUAGAGCGCGUCCUGCGCCCUGCGCCAUGGUAGCGGCGAUGGUGGCGGCGGCGGCGCCCGGCGGCGCAGGGCCUGGCGGGGGCGGCGGCGGCGCUGGCCCUGGGUGCUGCGGCGGUGACGCAGGGCCCGGUGGUGGCGCAGG